Molecule: ribosomal RNA, 253 nt
Filed under: uncultured bacterium
Lineage: Bacteria
Description: partial 16S ribosomal RNA
Rfam family: Bacterial small subunit ribosomal RNA
Source: RNAcentral
UACGGAGGGUGCAAGCGUUAUCCGGAUUCACUGGGUUUAAAGGGUGCGUCGGAGGGCAGGUAAGUCAGUGGUGAAAUCCCCGAGCUUAACUUGGGAACUGCCGUUGAUACUAUCUGUCUUGAAUAUUGUGGAGGUAAGCGGAAUAUGUCAUGUAGCGGUGAAAUGCUUAGAUAUGACUUAGAACACCAAUUGCGAAGGCAGCUUGCUAAACAAAUAUUGACGCUGAGGCACGAAAGCGUGGGGAUCAAACAGG